Molecule: RNA transcript, 4181 nt
Organism: Daucus carota subsp. sativus
Lineage: Eukaryota; Viridiplantae; Streptophyta; Magnoliopsida; Apiales; Apiaceae
Gene name: 3-ketoacyl-CoA thiolase 2, peroxisomal-like
Exons: 19
Source: RefSeq, a predicted model, not a curated record
CCCGUUGUUAAUUAGAUAUGCUCCCUUCCUCUUGAGUUUCACCUCUUCAGUUCCGCUGCUUGUGUGUAUAAUAUGUACUGAAAUUUUUUCCGCAGCUAAUUAUCAGAGUCUCAAACCCAAUUAGAAAGGAUAGGGGUUGGAUGCUAUACUAUUGAUUGUACUAGAAUGCUGCUGCUUUGUUUGCAUCUGAUAGGUAAAAAGAAUAUAAGUUCAUAGAGGAAAAAAAGGGUGAGGAUAAGAAAAUUGAAUAUGGAGAUGUGGCUUUGGGGUUUGAUUUAAUAGGGGGAAGAGCUAAACUUUGCCUAAAAGAUACAUAGAGCGACAAGAAGUCUUAGUGGUAAGGAGAUGAUGAUCUUCUGCGUAGACAAAUUUGAUCUCAAGGAUUUGGAUGUUCAGUUGGAGAAGCACUUGAACAGGUUCCUUCAAUCAACUUAAAAACCAUAUUUGCCUCUACCCAAAGAAGAUUGGGAGCUUGAUCUAUGUAACCAGGGAAUAAAAUACUAUAAAGCUCUGGUACUGUAUAUAGGGUAACUUGUGAGGAAGCAGACGUUGCAGUGAAGCUGCUGGAUUGGGGAGAGGACGGGAAUGCAAAUAGUGCAGAAACUGCAGCUGUGAUGUCAUCAUAUUUAGUGAAGGAUCAAUUACACUUAACAUACGGUGGAGCAAAACUGUCUUCUACCAAUGGCUGUUGCAAGUCGUGAUGGAGUUACAAGAUUGGAACAGGAUCAAGCUGCGGUUGUUUUCAGGAUCUGACUGUUCAACAUUACAGUAAUAUUUCUAUUAUGUUACCUCUUUUUUUAUGUACUUCAUUAGGUUGAUUUACACAAGAAGGCUUCGGCUGCUGUUGCUGCUGCUGCUGCUUUAGGAAGGUUUAAGGAUGAGAUAGUACAUGUACACACCAAGAUCGUGGACAUAAAAAAUGGGGAUGAAAAACCUGUUACAAUCUCUGUGGAUGAUGUGAUUCGGGCAAACAUAGAUGUGGCAGAUCUUGGGAACUAAAGCCCUCAUUUAAGAAAGACGGGACGACGACUGCUGGUAACUAGGGGAGAGCAUUUGGUUUGAUUAACCGAUAACCGAACUGAAUAACCGAAGAAAUGAAACAACUAGAUGAAGCACUAGAGAAAAUGAACAUGGAUGCAAGUUCUGCAGCAGCUUCAGCGACUGGAACAAGUCAUCCACCUGUCAAGCCUGCCCAAAUCUAUGCCUGUACAGUGGCCAUGGCUUCCUUGCGGAGUGCUGCAGCUAUAUCCUGCGUCCAAGCCUCCUAAUUCUCUCAAUUCAGAUGGCCGUUUCGUUUAUAUGCGCAGUUAAAGCUUUCGUUGUGUUUAUGUUAUCGAUUUCUGGUGUGAAUUCGGCGGGUUGUCUCCCCUCUCCGCGGGUUCCCUUCGGUCCGAUGACACAACGACCAUGCCCAUUUCGGAAGUAUGUAGAAAGAAGUAUUCCAGUCCAAGGUGUUUGUCAGAAUGACCCUUUGAACUUAAGCGACCAAGCUACUAGAAAUAUUGGGCGGCCUAAGGUUACCAUCAGCGAGGAUGUUUUGGAAAGGAGAAGGCUAUCUAAGCGGAGGCAAAAUACUCGGCAAACUGGGCAACAAGGUUUGUAUGCUAAGCUCGCAUAUUCUCCAGUAUAUCUGCAUAUGGCAAGCCCUUGGUUACGGAAAGAAACUGGAGUACUUAUUUGCUAAUACAAACGGUGAACAGAAACAGGCAAGGAAGAUGAAUAUGUUAACAGACCUUCAAAAUAUUGGGAUAUUUGUGGAGACAGGUUUGAUCCCGGUGGACAUAUUGGAUCAUUUUACCAGCUAUCGCUUGCUGAAUCAGAAUUUGAAGUCAUGAUACAGGAAGGAGAGGAGGAUGACAUCUAACUUGAUUGAAGAUUAGGUUGCUCUGUCUCGUUGCUUUCAUGUUCUAUCUUUUCGCUUUCAUAAUUGUGCAUACAAUUCCUAUGAUAGAAGCCAAUUGAGCAUCAGCUGAACCUUUAGCGACCCACAAUAGUAUCAUAGAUCAAACAAAGUGAUGAAUAAGAGGCUGGAUAUGUAUGACUGCAGAAUCCAGUUACUUGCCCGAAUUUGAUCCCGUACCUAUCCCUGGGCCACCUGGUUCGUUUUUGCGGAGUCUGGAGGUGAUAUUUGUGGUGUUUGAUGCGAGUGAUCAUCGGUUUUAGUUUGCAUCUGAGAGUGUCUUCCGCUUGACGCUGGUAUCAUUAUAGAGGUUGUCAAUCUGGAAAUGGUUUUGGUUAACCAUGUUGAUGGUACAUUUCUUGAAAAAAAUUGAGAAAUCAGAGUUCUGCAGGAUCAGGAUCCGGAGCAGGUCCGGAUAGUGGUGGGCUGUUUGUAGGGUUAUUAAUGGUCCUUCUUAACAGGAUUGAUGUUGUUGGCGGCCUCAGGGGCUAAGCUAGAUCCCUUUCUGGUCCGGUCGAUGAUCCCAUCAAGCUCCCAAAAUGGAAUUUGAUGGAUCAAGUACUGGUCAGGCACCAGGGGAUGAUAGUGAAGUGAUGGUAAAGAGUUUGAUGAAGGUAAAAUAAGUUGUUUCAAGGGUUUAGCUGGUCAUAAUAGACGUAGAAGGAAGACGCAUCCUGAAAAUGCAGCUAAUGCAGUCAACUCGAAUGAGGAGCAGUAUUUAUAAGUCUGCUUAGAAUUCUGUCCAAUGCACACUGAGCAGAAUUGGACACAUUUCUUAAAUAGUUAGCACACUGUUGAAUUUCAACUUGAUAGCACACUGAAGAUGAACAUACAUUCUUGGCCAAUUUGAUUUGGAGAUUCUUUGUCGCGCAGGUAGUUAUGAUUUGAUUCCAGCCUACAGAAUAUGCAUGUAUUUUUUAGUGUUGUCAUUUUCUUCUACAAUAAUACACCUACUUUAAAAUUUUAUGAUAACUUGAUAACAUGUGCUGAGCAAUUUUGUUUUGGGAGAUAUAUGUAAUGCAGGUUCAAGGGCCAUAAGACAAGGAAUUACAUAAAUUAUUAGCGGGUCGAGGUAAUCCAGAGUAAUCAUGUGACUGGUUUAUACUAAUCUUGCUAAAAUACAAUCAUUUAUUACCCUUAUCUUAUCUUUUCUUUUUUAUUAGCUCACAUGCCCAAUCAAUCAUAAGGGAGCAAUGAAUGUGUAGCUAAAUUAUAUGAUUGUUAAUAAACUGCAUUUUUGCUACACUGUAAUAAUUUAUACAUCGAUUAGCUUAAGUGAACUCGAGAUUUCUGUGAAAAGUAAUUUAUACAAGGUACUCCCUCCGUUUUUCCCAUAGGUCAUUUCACUUUUUGAUAAUUUUCCCACUACCUAAUUAAUAUUAUUAUUUUUAAUUUUUUUGGUAAAUAAAAGCAUAAUUUUAAAUUUUAAAUGAGUUGACUACUUAAUAUUUUGUAGAUUUUGAGCUUGUGACUCUCCACCCCCAUUUCAGCUAAAGAGACAUUAGCGCCGGUGGUAAUACAAGGUUUUUUCCCUGGGGGUGCUUAGAGGAAACAGAAACACCUGGUUGAAAAAUUACCUCUUCCAGAUACACAUAAACAAAUUUAUUAUGUCAAUGGACAGAGGAGCGCCAAUGCGACAGCCUUCAUUGCAGAAGAAACUGGACGAGAAUUUUACUUUUUUAACCAGAAUUACUUUGGUAAAGUACAACCACUUAUCUUUCUCAUUCAAAUAAAGACUAGGAAUGCAUAAAAUUGUCCUCAUUCAGGUCUACACAGCUCUGUCUAGCAGCAACUGAUUUGAACAAAAAGAAGGCAGUGACGCUGAAAGUAAUGGAUAGGGCGACUACACGCAAUUGGAGUCUUCUAAAAAGCUCUCCUGAACUUGGUAAGUUGCUGGACAAACUUGCAUUCUGCGGAAAAAGCACACAUAUCUUGCAUAUGCAUAUAAAGUUGCCAAACUAGGUCAGCAUUGUGCCCGGUGUUUCGAUUCCAGUUCAUAUGCCCCCGAACGAUAAAUAUUUUGUCCUAUUUAAACUGACAACUUUCACUACAUAAAUGCGGAUGAGUGUCCAGCACACUUUUGAACACAAAAUAAGAGUGGAAGACGACAUCAUUUUUGUCAAAACUGGUAUAAAUUUCAACCAACAAAUACGUUAAUCUUCUUGGGGCAGCAAUCGUUACAAUGCGAGAUCAUUAAAUACUUUCUAGAUAUGAUAGGGCUUAUUCACCUCUAACCAUGGAAUAUGUAGACUUGCAAGUUUAUCCAAAGUAAUUUCAAACA